This 352-nucleotide unclassified non-coding RNA is filed under the name soil metagenome. RNAcentral's name for it is "partial contains 5.8S ribosomal RNA, internal transcribed spacer 2, and large subunit ribosomal RNA". The stretch from base 1 to 120 matches the Rfam family "5.8S ribosomal RNA", at positions 35 to 154 of the family's 154-position model. The record is from RNAcentral.
GAUGAAGAACGUAGCGAAAUGCGAUAAGUAAUGUGAAUUGCAGAAUUCAGUGAAUCAUCGAAUCUUUGAACGCGCAUUGCGUCCGCCAGUAUUCUGGCGGGCAUGCCUGUUCGAGCGUCAUUACAACCCUCAGGCCCCCGGGCCUGGCGUUGGGGAUCGGCGGAGCCCCCCGUGGGCACACGCCGUCCCCCAAAUACAGUGGCGGUCCCGCCGCAGCUUCCAUCGCGUAGUAGCUAACACCUCGCGACUGGAGAGCGGCGCGGCCACGCCGUAAAACACCCAACUCUUCUGAAGUUGACCUCGAAUCAGGUAGGAAUACCCGCUGAACUUAAGCAUAUCAAUAAGCGGAGGA